GGCACCCACGGCAUGUGGAGGUUCCCAGGCUAGGGGUCUAAUUGGAGCUGUUGCUGCUGGCCUACGCCACAGCCACAGCCACACAAGAUCUGAGCCAUGUCUGUGACCUCCACCACAGCUCACAGCAACACUGGAUCCUUAACCCACUGAGCAAGGCCAGGAAUCAAACCUGCAACCUCAUGGUUCCUAAUCAGAUUUGUUUCCGCUGCAUCACAACAGGAACUCCCCCUCCAAACUCUUCAAAUCACUGCUCAGCGAAAGCCCUUUAGAGGCUCCAUCUCAUUUCAAAGAACAGUCCAAGUCUGUCUAACUGACUCAAAGGUCCCGUCCUCUCUGGUCAUCUGCAAUCUCCCUGUCCCCAUCACUUCCCACUCUCCCCCUCACUCUCAGCUCUGGCCACAGCACUGUCCUUGCUGUUCCUGGAUGGUGCCAGGCAACUUCCAGGCAGGUUUUCACACACUGUUCCAUCUGGGGGGGACACCCACACAGCCCCUGCCCUCCUCACCUGAGGUCUACCCCCUGGCCUUUCCUGGUCUCAGCUCACACCAUCCCCUUUCCCCUGUCCUGCUUCACUUUUUAUCAAAGCCUUCCUCAUUAUAUAAUAGAGAGUAUCAUCUUUUAAAUUUACGUUCUGUCUAGCUUUCCCCACUAGAGUAAAAGUCCCGUGAGGGCAGGGCUCUUCACCUGUUCUUUCCACAUCUGUACCCCCAGCACCUGUAACAGAGCUUGGUAGAAUAAAGAGCUCAAAAAUCCCUUACCAAAUGAAUAAACUUGGAAGAUCAUUCAACCCUUAAGUUUGUAGAUGAAAUAUGUCUUAGCUGAAAGAAGGGUCAGAUACGAGUGUUUUCUAUGACAUCAUUCUGCCUCCACAAGAUUUAGUAGCAAGUCUAGCAACCCUAUGCUUAACGAUGCUGACACACAAAAGAAGGACGUGUAUGAGAUACCAGGUUCUUGCAAGCUUGCAUUUGCAUCAUGCUGACUCUUAACGUGUUUUUAAUUGGUUUCCUGUUACGUUUUUAAGCAUCUUCAGCCAUUAAACUAUGUGCUUCCAUAUUUGACUCCAAAAUAACAGACAAUCUUCCACUUACACCAGGUACCCAAAAUAAUCGGAUUCACAAAGACAGGAGGUAGAAAGGUAGCGGCCAGGAGCUGGAGAAGGGGGAUGGGAAGUGGCUGUUUAAUGGGUGCAAAGCUCUGGUUUACAAGAUGAAAAGAGUUCUGGAAAUGGGCGAUGAUCGCACACAACCUGACUGCACUUAAUCCUACAAAACUGUACCCAUAAAAAAUGGUUAAGAUGGUAUGUUUUAAGUUAUGUGUAUUUUGACCCAAUUAAAAAUUAAAAUUAAAAAAGAAAAUUAAAAAAUUAUAAAUGCAUAUCAUUCAUAAAUUAUAUGUGAGCUUAUAAAAGUUAAAGGUUUUCUCUCUCCCCAGUGGUCUCCCUGUAUUUAGAAUCACUCUUUCUGCAUAGAGUCAAAUAGUGUGUAGAAAAGACUCUAAGAGUUAGUAAAAGGCUUUAAAACACUGAGAGGGAGAAGUAAAUCUUUUGAUUCUCAGAGGAACAUGAAUUCCAUUUAGUAUGUACCUAUGGCUAAGAUUCUCCAAAGAAGAUACUAUCCACAUUCAUAUUGAAAAAGCAUCAAAGAACAAGAUCUCUCUUGUCUGAUCAAAUCAAUGUAUCAUUUGAUAAUUACCUGAUUCAUACAGUUGGUUUACUGACAAAUUCUACUGUAUAUAUGCCCAGUGAAUUUCUGAAACAAAAUAAAAAAAUCAAUUGGCACACUUAUUCCUUUGGGAAUUAUACUUGGGGAUUUAUUUAUAUUUUCCUGUAAUGUUUAAUCAUGUCAAAUAAUAAAAUUUAUUAAUCAUGUAGAAUAUAUUAAAAUUCCAGCAUGUCAUUAAAGUUUUACAAACGAAUAAAUUAAAAACCAUGAAUAAUUCAAAAAUCUAAUCUCCACUGAGCUAGAAAUUAAAACCAAAUAGAAUUAUUUACUGAAAAUUCUCUAUGUCAUUGUUACUCAAAGUUUGGUCUGGGGGCCAACAGCAUCCACUGACCUGGGAACUUCUUAGACGUGAGAAUCUCAGACUCUCCCCCCCACCAACCUCCUUUAACAAGGGCUCCACAAGAUCUGUGUGCACUUGAAGAAAAACUGCUCUAGCGAUAUAUAAAGAUAUAUCAUAAAUUUUGAUUUUUUUUUCCCAACUGGUCUCCAUUCCAAAUUUAUGGUCCUCGGGGAUCCAAACCAAAGAAGAACAUUUAUUUUUCUGAUAUCUUGAGCCCUUAUUUCUUAAUGAGUAAAACACACUUUCGAGAGAAAACUGUGUCUCUUUGGGAGAAGUGGAUAUUUUGACAGAGGAUCCCUGUCUUUUAUCUUUGGGAAUCACCCGAUCAUGGAAGCCUGGAAACUACAGGCUUCUCAGGAAAGGAAAUGCUUCAAGAGCCUCAGGAAGAACUCUGUACCCAGUCAAUAACCCAUCAAUGCUGGCCCAGCAACUGACCAGUUAGACUGAGAUCUCUCCCAAUAAACACUUUCUUUUCCAUUCUUGCAGUCAGUAUAUCAAUGGUCUGAUCCCAUCAUUAAAAGCAUAACAAUCAUUGGCAAGAAUACAACAAAGUGCCUUGUCCUGGGCUUGUCCACGCUCCAGGCGUGUACAAGUUCCCAGGCCAGGGAUCAAAUCUAUGCCACAGCAGUGACAACGCUGGAUCCUUAACCCACUGAGCCACAGGCAACUCCAGUACCACCACAACUUUAAAGUAAGUAGAGUUGGCCUGGGAGGCAGAAAGAAGAGCCUCAUUUUGGGACAGUGCCUGGCCUCCCCCAGCCUGCACCCCACAACUGUGUCACAGGCUUAGCUUAUCCCUGGGCUGUUCACCCUCUAAGAAAGCAAGCUGGUGAAUAAGACCUGGAAUUUGCCCGGGUUCCAAGGAUGUCCACUGAGCAAAGGGUACAAAAGGGGAGGAGUCUGGGCGUUUUCGUUCAGUCUGUUGCUAUCAGUGAGGGUGUGGAAAGUCAACGUGGAGAAGCCAAGCGGAGCCUGGCUUUGCAGCUCCUGCGGAUGAGCGGGCCCUGGACACAUCCUCCACCUGUGCUGAACGAAGUCCGUCAGAGAGACGGCGGGAAGGCUGGGCUGCUGAGUCCCCGCCCCUGCCGGGGGGAUGCAGGGCCGGGGAGAAGCACAGGGCCCUGGGCUGGCGGCACAGCAGAGCCAGGAGCCAGGUGGGGGCCCGGCCGUGCUCUGGCCCCUGGGUUUGCGCCCGUGAUUGGGAUUCUCCUGUGGGAGCUGACCUUGCAGGACCUCUUCCCAAACUGGGGCUGGAGGAGGAAGGGCUGCGGGCCGCUAGCUGCCCAUUGUGAUGGUGGAAGAUGUUUUUCUUCCAGCUUCAUCUCAGAGUCAGUCGCUCACCUGAGACCCUCCCACUCACGCUGACCCACGAUGAGGGACCCUAGGGACGCAACCUACUCUUUCUCUACGCACAUCAGAAAAAAACUGCAGGAGCUCCUUCCAUCCUGGCCACUAAGACAUGGGCAGGAUGGGUUCCCCGAGAGGGGACUGGACCCGAAGUGCCUCUCCGGCGCCAGGAGAAGCCCUGGAGAGACGCAGCAAGAGAAUCAGGCCAAGAAGAGCGUGACCAUUCCUGGUCUAUUGCAGCAGGUGCCCUGCCCCGCCAUCCCCUUGAGAAGUAGUGAAUGUCACAAUGUAACUCAUGUCAAAGGGACAGACAAGCCGCUGGCGCCACCUGCGUUUCAGCACAAUCAGUAUCUGCACCUACCUAGCUCCUAAACCAGCUGGGAUUGUUUUUCCUCCUUAGAAGUAAAGACUUCCAAACUUGACUCAAAUCCAGACAACUAAGUUGUUAAUAUUAUGAACAAUGUCCAAGUCAUUUAAGCCAUAAAUUAAACAUUUUAAAAUUGUCUUCAGACUUUUAAGGUGAAACUUUCAGAACACAGUAAUAACAUCUCAAAACUCUAUAAUAUGCAAAUUAACACACAAUUAACAAAUCUAAAAUAACAAAUCUCUUAAGAGCAAAAUGUUGAAUUCAAUAGCAAAGUGAUUUGAUUUACAAUUAUAGAUUCAUAUGCAAAUUUUUGGACCACACACACAGAAUAAUCAGUGUGUUGGCAUAUACACCCUAAACUAGUAUCAGGGACACAUCUUACCUGAAAAAAUCAUGUUUUUAAAAUCAGCUUAAAUUUUUAUUAUGCGGCUAUUUAUAUGCCCCCCGAAUCUAGUUAUUUACCAUUAAUGUGCCAGAUUUGUACCUGAUGGACAACAUUUUCUUUAUAAUCAUUAAAUUUAUCUCUUGACAAAAUUCACGUUUACCAAGUGAAAUAACUGAGACAUAAGAAAUUCAUAUUGUCAAAGCUGUGCCAGAUCAAAAUAUUCUGAAAUAUAUUGAAGGGAUUAAUCAACAAGAAAAUAAAAGGUGACAGGUUUAAGAGAAUGAGAUGAAGAUUAAUCCGAUGACUAACCAGUGCCCUGAUUCAAGAUAAAACAGGUUGCAGGCACUUUCCUAGAGGCAAUUAAAAAUAUAUAGAACAUAAAGAAUAUUUCCGUCUUCUGUACUAUUUUGUAUCUCCUGUCCUUCUACCUCCACCUAAGUCACAGAGCUACUUCCUUCCUAGGACUCUAUUUUAAAUUACAAAAGAGACACAUUUCAUCAGCAUGCCAGGCACUGUAUCUUUUUCAAUGAAAAUUCAUUUACAUAUCUCAUAUCUAAAUCAGAUGGUAUUUCCGAGAAAAGCUGAAGUUCCCUUUGCCUUUUUUUAAGAUAUAUUUAUGGACACAGUUCAUAUUUAUGUAAAAGUCUUCAGCAGAAAUUUCUCUAUAUUGCGAUGGCCAGGAAGUUAGGUUAGAAAGAGACAAGGGUAAGACAGCCAGGGUCAUUGAUUCAUUUUUAGAGAAAAUUGGCAGAAAAUUUAGUUGGAAACUCGGUAAUGUAAUUUAAACGUUUAAAAUAACCUAAUCGUCCUUAAACACAGAUUCCCCCUUUGCCCUAGCUCAUUUAUAUGUCUGUGUUUCUGGUUUAUGCUUCUGCCCUUACAAAGGCAGUAACACAGAGAAUAAAACGUAAGUUACUGAAAAGAAUAGCCCGACUGAAUAUAAU
RNAcentral lists this long non-coding RNA (5104 nucleotides) under Sus scrofa (pig). RNAcentral describes it as "lncRNA (ENSSSCG00035008226.1)". Lineage: Eukaryota; Metazoa; Chordata; Mammalia; Artiodactyla; Suidae. The record is from RNAcentral.